This 292-nucleotide ribosomal RNA is filed under the name uncultured bacterium. RNAcentral's name for it is "partial 16S ribosomal RNA". It matches the Rfam family "Bacterial small subunit ribosomal RNA", at positions 505 to 796 of the family's 1533-position model. The record is from RNAcentral.
GUGCCAGCCGCCGCGGUAAGACGGAGGGGGCAAGCGUUGUCCGGAAUCACUGGGCGUAAAGCGCACGUAGGCGGGACGGUGCGUCGGUGCUGAAAGCGCCAGGCUUAACCUGGCGAGGCGUGCCGAUACGACCGACCUCGAGGCAGACAGAGGGUGGCGGAAUUCCGGGUGUAGUGGUGAAAUGCGUAGAGAUCCGGAGGAACGCCGGUGGCGCAAGCGGCCACCUGGGUCUGACCUGACGCUGAGGUGCGAAAGCGUGGGGAGCAAACCGGAUUAGAUACCCCCGUAGUCC